Molecule: long non-coding RNA, 276 nt
Organism: Puntigrus tetrazona (Sumatra barb)
Lineage: Eukaryota; Metazoa; Chordata; Actinopteri; Cypriniformes; Cyprinidae
Exons: 3
Source: RefSeq, a predicted model, not a curated record
AGUAAGUUCUGCAUACUGCAGCAUUAGAUAAUUUCAUACUAUAACUGAUCUAAGGGCAUUUUAUUUCAAGUGUCUGCGACGUGCCGAAUCCGACGAUAACUGUUAGGUCCGUUGUGCUCAUGUAAAGCAUGUUCACGCUCUUUUUCCUCAGAUAUUUGACAUUCUUGCUGGUACAAAAUCGGAUACCCUCUUUGACACCUUUAAAGGUCUGGCAGCUCAUCCAGAUGGCAGCUCAGCAUCCUUUACCGUUCUCUCCCUGGGCCUGCAAGGACACCA